CCUAAAUCUUACUUAAAUUUGUUAAGUCAAUUUGUAUACCACUAUUAAAUUAAUUAUUAAUUUUAAUUUAUAAAAUUUAUGCAAAUUUAAAAAAAAUUAAGUCAAGUGCAGUAAAAAUUUAAGAAUGAAGUGAAUUACAUUUCUUUUAAGAGAUUAUUAAAAUUAAAAUUUUAAUUUAGGAUUU
RNAcentral lists this ribosomal RNA (184 nucleotides) under Rhipicephalus microplus (southern cattle tick). RNAcentral describes it as "partial small subunit ribosomal RNA". Lineage: Eukaryota; Metazoa; Arthropoda; Arachnida; Ixodida; Ixodidae. The record is from RNAcentral.